GGAGACUUGCAGAGCUUGCAGGGCUGUGCCAGGAUGGAGCGGAGGGAUAAGCCUUACCCGUGGAAGAACUGUUGAGCUCGCUUCCUGGAAGACAGGGCACACGUCCAGGCACGCGUCCAGGCCCGCCACACGCAGGUUGGCCUCCCCAGCUGGUACAGAGAGAAGUCCGGACCUUCUUCCGUUUGCUGUCAUCUGCGUUCACUGAGUAGACCUUGUGUUGAUGACUGGGACCCAGUGUGUCCCAGGGUUGUGGACUGAACGAAUACCAGGCGCCAGACGUACAGCUCUGCUCCCGUACCUCUGACCCCACGACAAAGGAAGAGAGGCCCUGAGCUUGGCAGCUUCUUGGAACGUCCCAGAAGAUCUGGAGUCUAGAAGGAGAGAACAGGUCUGCAAGGAAGAGAUUCUGUUAAGAGAAUAGAUCUUCAGACUUCUUUCUACACACAGGAAAGGUAACUGUGUGAGGUGAGGGGUGUAUUACAAUUACCUUAAUUGUGAUCAUCAUUUCACAAUGUGUACGUAUAUCAAAUCAUAUUACGCACUUUAAUUCUAUACAAUUUUAUCAAUUAAAAAGAAAGCUGGGAAAAAUACAAAUAAAAUGUCAAGCAGAUCCCCUGAUGGGUGGUUCUGUUGAGUUCAGCUUUAUCCUUGCUGACUGUCUGCCUACUGGGCCUGUCAGUUACUAAUAGAGGGAGUGUGGAAAUCCCUCACGUUAAUAGUGGGUAAUCUAUUUCUCUGCAUUUUUGUCAGUUUUUGCCUCUUGUAUUGUGACGCUUUGUUGUAAAGUGCAUAUAUUUCAAAGAUUAUUGUGUCUUCUCAGAGAAUCGACCCCCCCCUUAUUAUGUAACACCCUCUUUAUUCCUUGGAAGUUUCCUUGUUCAAAUGCCUUUUUUGUCUGAAAUUAGUAUCACUACUCCAACUUUCAUUUGAUUAGUGCCUGUGGUACCCCUCUCCCUGCUCUUUUACUCUUAAUAUUUGUGUGUUUUUAUAUUUAAAUUGGGUUUCUUAUAGACACCAUAGAGUCCGGUCUAGUUUUUCACCUACCCUUACAGUGUCUUCUUUUAACUGGCGUAUUUAGAGCACGCCCAUUUAAAGUGAUUAUUGAUAGUUGGAUUUAUAUCUACCAUGUUUGUCAAAAUUCUGUAUUUGUUGCACUUGUUCUUUGUUUUUUUCUUAAUCUUUCUGUUUCUGCCUUCUCUUCUAAUUGAGCAUUUUUUAUUAUUCCAUUUUCUCUUCUCUCUCAGCGUAUCAGUUAUAUUUCUUUUUAACUUUUUAGUGGUUUCCCUAGACCUAGACUGCGCAACAUAAAUUUACAACUAAUCUAGGUCCACCUUCAGACAACACUGCACCACUGUCUGGGCAGUGUGGGUGUAACAGAGAACCCCCAGCUCCCCACUCCCAUCCCUUCAUAACACUGCUACCGCCUCUUGCACUGACCUCCGCGCUAUGAUCACCCGUAUGUUGUGGCUGUUAUUCCUUUGAACAGUUGUCCUUUAGAGUAAAUAAGAAAAAUAAAAUAUUGUAUUUUAGUCUUCACUUAUGCCUUCUCUGAUACCUUUCCUUUAUUCAUGUAGACUCAAAUUUCUGACUAGUACCAUGCUCCUUCUCUCUGAAGACCAUCUUUAUCAUUGACUGGUGACAAAAAUUCUCUCAGUGCUGUAAGUCUGAGUAUUUCACAUUGAAUUAUGUCCCCCUCCAGAAGUCAUAUGUCAAAGCCCGAGCUCCCAACAUGACUGUAUUUGGAGACGGGGCCUUUAGAAAUGUCAUUGAUGUCACCUGUGGUCAUAAGGGUGGGGCCUUCCUGCAAUUUGGCUGGUGUCCUUGUAGGAAGAGGAAGAGACCCAAGGAUGUGCGCGUGCGCUCAGGGAGGUCAGGCCGUGCGAGGAGACGGCUGUCUCCAAGCCGAGCAGAGAGGCCUCUCGAAAGGCAACACUAAAGCACCUUGAUCUUUGACUUUCAGUCUCCAAAACUGUAGAAAAUCCUUUUUGUGUCGUUGUUUAAAUCACCCAGUUUAUGGUAUUGUGUUAUGGCAGCCCUAGCAAACUGCUAUACCAAGAAAGUCAUUAUUUUCCCUUACUUCGGAAGAAUGAUUUUUCUGAAUAUGUAGACUCCCUUGGUUGGUGGGUUUUUCUUUCACCACUUUAAAUAUUUCAUUCUACUCUCUUCUGGCUUGCAUGAUUUGUGAAGCAAGUCUGAUGUAAUUCCUGCCUUUGUUCCUCUCUAGAUAAGGUGUUUUUAUCCUUUGACUUUUUAAAAGAUUUUUUUCUUUGGCUUUGGCUUUAUGCAAUUUGAAUAUGCUAU
Long non-coding RNA from Enhydra lutris kenyoni (northern sea otter), 2301 nucleotides. RefSeq lists it as uncharacterized. The transcript has 3 exons. NCBI's taxonomy places the organism in Eukaryota, Metazoa, Chordata, Mammalia, Carnivora, Mustelidae. The record is from RefSeq and is a predicted model, not a curated record.